Molecule: ribosomal RNA, 482 nt
Filed under: uncultured bacterium
Lineage: Bacteria
Description: partial 16S ribosomal RNA
Rfam family: Bacterial small subunit ribosomal RNA
Source: RNAcentral
AUUGAACGCUGGCGGCAUGCUUUACACAUGCAAGUCGAACGGUAACAGGCCGCACGGUGCUGACGAGUGGCGGACGGGUGCGUAAUGCAUCGGAACGUGCCCAGUCGUGGGGGAUAACUACUCGCAAGAUUAGCUAAUACCGCAUACGAUCUAUGGAUGGAAUCGGGGGUCCGUAAGGCGGCGCGCGAUUGGAGCGGGCGAUGUCUGAUUAGGUAGUUGGUGGGGUAAAGGCUCACCAAGCCAACGAUCUGUAGGGGGUCUGGGAGGACGACCAGCCACACUGGGACUGAGACACGGCCCAGACUCCUACGGGAGGCAGCAGUGGGGAAUUUUGGACUAAGGGCGCAAGCCUGAUCCAGCAAUGCCGCGUGCAGGAAGAAGGCCUUCGGGUUGUAAACUGCUUUUGUACGGAACGAAACGGCUCUGGUUAAUACCCGGGGCUAAUGACGGUACCGGAAGAAUAAGCACCGGCUAACUACGUG